Molecule: unclassified non-coding RNA, 334 nt
Filed under: soil metagenome
Description: partial contains 5.8S ribosomal RNA, internal transcribed spacer 2, and large subunit ribosomal RNA
Rfam family: 5.8S ribosomal RNA (bases 1-120)
Source: RNAcentral
GAUGAAGAACGUAGCGAAAUGCGAUACGUAAUGUGAAUUGCAGAAUUCAGUGAAUCAUCGAAUCUUUGAACGCACAUUGCGCCUGCCAGCACUCUGGCAGGCAUGCCUGUUCGAGCGUCAUUUCAACCAUCAAGCCCUAGGCUUGCGUUGGAGCCCUGCGGCUGCCGCAGGCCCCUAAAAGCAGUGGCGGGCUCGCUAUCACACCGAGUGCAGUAGUUUACUCUUCGCUCAGGGCGUGUGGCGGGUUCCAGCCGUGAAACCCCCUACUUCUCAAGGUUGACCUCGGAUCAGGUAGGAAUACCCGCUGAACUUAAGCAUAUCAAUAAGCGGAGGA